RNAcentral lists this ribosomal RNA (466 nucleotides) under uncultured bacterium. RNAcentral's name for it is "partial 16S ribosomal RNA". It matches the Rfam family "Bacterial small subunit ribosomal RNA", at positions 28 to 508 of the family's 1533-position model. The record is from RNAcentral.
GACGAACGCUGGCGGCGUGCUUAACACAUGCAAGUCGAACGGAAAGGCCCCUUUGGGGGUACUCGAGUGGCGAACGGGUGAGUAACACGUGAGUAACCUGCCCUUGACUUCGGGAUAACUUCAGGAAACUGGGGCUAAUACCGGAUAGGAAUCCUUGCUGCAUGGUGGGGGUUGGAAAGCUUCGGCGGUUUUGGAUGGACUCGCGGCUUAUCAGCUUGUUGGUGGGGUAGUGGCUUACCAAGGCUUUGACGGGUAGCCGGCCUGAGAGGGCGACCGGCCACAUUGGGACUGAGAUACGGCCCAGACUCCUACGGGAGGCAGCAAUGGGGAAUAUUGCACAAUGGGCGGAAGCCUGAUGCAGCAACGCCGCGUGCGGGAUGACGGCCUUCGGGUUGUAAACCGCUUUCAGCAGGGGCGAAGCUUGUGGUGACGGUACCUGCAGAAGAAGCACCGGCUAACUACGUGC